AAUCAACGCUGGCGGCGUGCCUCAGACAUGCAAGUCGAACGAUUAAGACUCUCUUCGGAGAGUGCAUAAAGUGGCGCACGGGUGAGUAACACGUAAGUAAUCUACCCUCGAGUGGGGAAUAACGUCCGGAAACGGACGCUAAUACCGCAUAAUGCAGCGGCACCGCAAGGUGACAGUUGUUAAAGAUUUAUCGCUUGAGGAGGAGCUUGCGGCAGAUUAGCUAGUUGGUAAGGUAAUGGCUUACCAAGGCUACGAUCUGUAACCGGUCUAAGAGGACGGUCGGUCACACUGACACUGAAUAACGGGUCAGACUCCUACGGGAGGCAGCAGUCGGGAAUUUUGGGCAAUGGGCGAAAGCCUGACCCAGCAACGCCGCGUGAAGGAUGAAGUAUUUCGGUAUGUAAACUUCGAAAGAAUAGGAAGAAUAAAUGACGGUACUAUUUAUAAGGUCCGGCUAACUACGUGCCAGCCGCCGCUGUAAG
RNAcentral lists this ribosomal RNA (482 nucleotides) under uncultured bacterium. RNAcentral describes it as "bacterial SSU rRNA". It matches the Rfam family "Bacterial small subunit ribosomal RNA", at positions 32 to 524 of the family's 1533-position model. The record is from RNAcentral.